Molecule: small nucleolar RNA, 113 nt
Organism: Parambassis ranga (Indian glassy fish)
Lineage: Eukaryota; Metazoa; Chordata; Actinopteri; Ambassidae
Product: small nucleolar RNA SNORD67
Source: Ensembl
UGUGAGAGUGAUGAGUUGCACUAAUGAGUUGGGGUGUCUUUGCAGUGGCAUCGACACCUCAAUCCCAGUCAAUAUGAGGACACACCCUGUGCACAGGGGCCAUCUGACUCCAC